GUAGAGCCAUUUGGUAGCUCUCAAAGCGCAUAACCUUGGGGUUACGGGUUCGAU
RNAcentral lists this transfer RNA (54 nucleotides) under Danthonia spicata (poverty oat grass). Its description in RNAcentral is "tRNA-fMet". Lineage: Eukaryota; Viridiplantae; Streptophyta; Magnoliopsida; Poales; Poaceae. RNAcentral also lists the same sequence under 1 other name. The record is from RNAcentral.